AGAUUUUCAGCGACAACCCACGAGUCUGUUAGAGCAGAUGUUAUAUUCUUCACCUUACGCUGCUGCUUCACAAUCUUCACUUUCUUCUCCAUCUUCUACAUCGUUUUCUCUACUUUUCGAUAGUCAUCAAUAGAUGGGUUAUUUCAUAAAUCAAU
Telopea speciosissima is the source of this 155-nucleotide long non-coding RNA. RefSeq lists it as uncharacterized. Lineage: Eukaryota; Viridiplantae; Streptophyta; Magnoliopsida; Proteales; Proteaceae. The record is from RefSeq and is a predicted model, not a curated record. The transcript is spliced from 3 exons.